CAGUAGCCGCGGGAAUACGGAGGGUGCAAGCGUUAAUCGGAAUUACUGGGCGUAAAGCGCACGCAGGCGGUCUGACAAGUCAGAUGUGAAGUCCCCGGGCUUGACAUGGGAACUGCAUUUGAAACUGUCAGGCUGGAGUCCUGUAGAGGGGGGUGGAAUUCCAGGUGUAGCGGUGAAAUGCGUAGAGAUCUGGAGGAAUACCGGUGGCGAAGGCGGCCCCCUGGACAAAGACUGACGCUCAGGUGCGAAAGCGUGGGGAGCAAACAGGAUUAGAUACCCGAGUAGUCCCUGUCUCUUAUAC
This 301-nucleotide ribosomal RNA is filed under the name uncultured bacterium. RNAcentral describes it as "partial 16S ribosomal RNA". It matches the Rfam family "Bacterial small subunit ribosomal RNA", at positions 509 to 807 of the family's 1533-position model. The record is from RNAcentral.